Gopherus agassizii (Agassiz's desert tortoise) is the source of this 152-nucleotide small nuclear RNA. Its record names the gene U1. It matches the Rfam family "U1 spliceosomal RNA". From Rfam's summary of the family: U1 is a small nuclear RNA (snRNA) component of the spliceosome (involved in pre-mRNA splicing). NCBI's taxonomy places the organism in Eukaryota, Metazoa, Chordata, Testudines, Testudinidae. The record is from Ensembl.
CAAUAAAAGUGGCAGGGGAGAUACCAUGAUCAGGAAGGUAGUUUUCCCAGGGUGAGGCUCAUCCAUUGCACUGUGGGUGUGCUGACCCCUGCGAUUUCCCCAAAUGCAGGAAACUCGACUGCAUAAUUUGUGGUAGUGGGGGACUGCGUUCA